Molecule: ribosomal RNA, 543 nt
Filed under: uncultured Acidobacteriota bacterium
Lineage: Bacteria; Pseudomonadati; Acidobacteriota
Description: bacterial SSU rRNA
Rfam family: Bacterial small subunit ribosomal RNA
Source: RNAcentral
AACGCGAAGAACCUUACCUGGGUUUGAACUACGGGUGACAGCCCCUGAAAGGGGGUUUCCUUCGGGUACCCGUAGAGGUGCUGCAUGGCUGUCGUCAGCUCGUGUCGUGAGAUGUUGGGUUAAGUCCCGCAACGAGCGCAACCCUUGCCCUUAGUUGCCAUCGGGUUAUGCCGGGAACUCUAGGGGGACUGCCCCGGAAAACGGGGAGGAAGGUGGGGAUGACGUCAAGUCCUCAUGGCCUUUAUGCCCAGGGCUACACACGUGCUACAAUGGGCGGUACAAAGGGUUGCGAUACCGCGAGGUGGAGCUAAUCCCAAAAAGCCGUCCUCAGUUCGGAUUGGAGUCUGCAACUCGACUCCAUGAAGGUGGAAUCGCUAGUAAUCGUGGAUCAGCAUGCCACGGUGAAUACGUUCCCGGGCCUUGUACACACCGCCCGUCACAUCACGAAAGUUGGUUGCACCUGAAAUGGCGAUGCCAACCCGCAAGGGAGGCUGGUUCUUACGGUGUGAUUGAUGAUUGGGGUGAAGUCGUAACAAGGUAACC